This 463-nucleotide ribosomal RNA is filed under the name uncultured bacterium. RNAcentral describes it as "partial 16S ribosomal RNA". It matches the Rfam family "Bacterial small subunit ribosomal RNA", at positions 28 to 507 of the family's 1533-position model. The record is from RNAcentral.
GAUGAACGCUGACAGAAUGCUUAACACAUGCAAGUCUUUGGCGAAGCUGUGCUUGCUCAGCCUAGCCAAGGCGGACGGGUGAGUAACGCGUAAGGAACUUGCCCUGCAGUCAGGGAUAACAGACGGAAACGACUGAUAAGACCUGGUAAAGUCAGGCGGACUCAUGUCCAGCCUGAUGAAAAGAGAUGCUGCAGGAGAGCCUUGCGUCCUAUUAGCUUGUUGGUGGGGUAACGGCCCACCAAGGCGAUGAUAGGUAGCCGGCCUGAGAGGGUGGACGGCCACAAGGGGACUGAGAUACGGCCCUUACUCCUACGGGAGGCAGCAGUGGGGAAUAUUGGACAAUGGGGGCAACCCUGAUCCAGCAAUUCUGUGUGCACGAUGAAGGUUUUCGGAUUGUAAAGUGCUUUCAGCAGGGAAGAAAAAAAUGACGGUACCUGCAGAAGAAGCGACGGCUAAAUACGUG